UGGUGGUGAAGAGAACAGGCAACCUG
RNAcentral lists this non-coding RNA (26 nucleotides) under Homo sapiens (human). The record is from RNAcentral. Lineage: Eukaryota; Metazoa; Chordata; Mammalia; Primates; Hominidae.